Molecule: ribosomal RNA, 460 nt
Filed under: uncultured bacterium
Lineage: Bacteria
Description: partial 16S ribosomal RNA
Rfam family: Bacterial small subunit ribosomal RNA
Source: RNAcentral
CCUACGGGGGGCUGCAGUGAGGAAUAUUGGUCAAUGGGCGAGAGUCUGAACCAGCCAAGUAGCGUGAAGGAUGACUGCCCUACGGGUUGUAAACUUCUUUUAUAAAGGAAUAAAACGAGGCACGUGUGCCUUUUUGCAUGUACUUUAUGAAUAAGGAUCGGCUAACUCCGUGCCAGCCGCCGCGGUAAUACGGAGGAUCCGAGCGUUAUCCGGAUUUAUUGGGUUUAAAGGGAGAGUAGAUGGUUUGUUAAGUCAGUUGUGAAAGUUUGCGGCUCAACCGUAAAAUUGCAAUUGAUACUGGCAGUCUUGAGUACAGUUGAGGUAGGCGGAAUUCGUGGUGUAGCGGUGAAAUGCUUAGAUAUCACGAAGAACCCCGAUUGCGAGGGCAGCUUACUAAACUGCCACUGACAUUGAUGCUCGAAAGUGUGGGUAUCAAACAGGAUUAGAUACCCCUGUAGUC